GAUGAACGCUGGCGGCGUGCCUAAUACAUGCAAGUCGAGCGAACAGACGAGGAGCUUGCUCCUCUGACGUUAGCGGCGGACGGGUGAGUAACACGUGGAUAACCUACCUAUAAGACUGGGAUAACUUCGGGAAACCGGAGCUAAUACCGGAUAAUAUAUUGAACUGCAUGGUUCAAUAGUGAAAGACGGUUUUGCUGUCACUUAUAGAUGGAUCCGCGCCGCAUUAGCUAGUUGGUAAGGUAACGGCUUACCAAGGCAACGAUGCGUAGCCGACCUGAGAGGGUGAUCGGCCACCCUGGAACUGAGACACGGUCCAGACUCCUACGGGAGGCAGCAGUAGGGAAUCUUCCGCAAUGGGCGAAAGCCUGACGGAGCAACGCCGCGUGAAUGAUGAAGGUCUUCGGAUCGUAAAACUCUGUUAUUAGGGAAGAACAAAUGUGUAAGUAACUAUGCACGUCUUGACGGUACCUAAUCAGAAAGCCACGGCUAACUACGUG
RNAcentral lists this ribosomal RNA (497 nucleotides) under uncultured bacterium. RNAcentral's name for it is "partial 16S ribosomal RNA". It matches the Rfam family "Bacterial small subunit ribosomal RNA", at positions 28 to 507 of the family's 1533-position model. The record is from RNAcentral.